This 878-nucleotide ribosomal RNA is filed under the name Orsolobidae gen. n. 2 sp. NCP-2017. Its description in RNAcentral is "partial 16S ribosomal RNA". The stretch from base 1 to 461 matches the Rfam family "Bacterial large subunit ribosomal RNA", at positions 1925 to 2925 of the family's 2925-position model. Lineage: Eukaryota; Metazoa; Arthropoda; Arachnida; Araneae; Orsolobidae. The record is from RNAcentral.
AAAUAGCUGCAAUUUUAUUGCACUAAGGUAGCAUAAUCAAUUGCCUUUUAAAUAAAGGAUAGAAUGAAAGGAAACCCGAAUUUUAAACUUUAUUUAAUUUUAAAAACAAAACUAAAUUUUGAGUUAAAAUACUCAUUAAAACAGAAAGACGACAAGACCCUAUCGAACUUCACAUAAGUUCCGCUGGGGAAGCACUUUAACUAAAUCUUAAAAUUUACACAAAAAAGAACCUUUCUGUUAAUUGAACAAGUUACCGUAGGGAUAACAGCAUAAUAAAAUUUCAAAGCUCAUAUUUUAAAUUAAGUUUAUGACCUCGAUGUUGAAUUAAUACUCUGUUGAAAGCAAAAAUUUCUUAAGAAAGACUGUUCGUCUUUUAAAUAAUUACAUGAUUUGAGUUCAGACCGGUGUAAGCCAGGUCGGUUUCUAUCUUCUUUGACUAAUUACCAGUACGAAAGGACCUUAAUUUGAUUAAAACUCCCAAUUUGACAGAACAAUGUAUUAGAAUUAGAAUCUAACUAUACCUUUAAUACAAGCAACAAACACACUUCUAAUCGCGUUGAGCAUCCUUCUAAGCGUUGCUUUUUACACUAUGCUAGAACGCAAAAUCUUGAGAUAUAUCCAAAUUCGAAAAGGACCUAACAAAGUCGGUUUAAUAGGAAUUUUACAGCCAUUCAGAGACGCACUCAAAUUAUUCACAAAAUCUUUUGCUUUUCCAAUCCCAUCCAACCACAAACUAGCUAUUUUAGCACCCCCUAUAACCUUUUUACUCGCACUAAUUAUAUGGCCCCUUCUUCCUUUUGCUAAAACCAAUAUUAUAGACAGACUAUUUAGCGCUCUCAUUUUUCUCAUUCUUUCGAGAUUAACUGUGUACUUUAUUA